Molecule: long non-coding RNA, 904 nt
Organism: Sinocyclocheilus rhinocerous
Lineage: Eukaryota; Metazoa; Chordata; Actinopteri; Cypriniformes; Cyprinidae
Exons: 2
Source: RefSeq, a predicted model, not a curated record
AUAGGGGAGUCUAAAAUGCCGUGGGAGAGAGACAGAUGGCUGGUGGUCUCUUUUGACAUGAAGGAGUGAAAUAGCAGACGGAUAAAGAAGAGCUGAGGGUGUCAGUUGUGCAUCAAACUUGAGAUCUCUUCACAGAACCACCCACAUUCAGGGAUAUCGAUGCGCUUCUUGCACAGACAUCUUCAAAGUCAUCAGAGGUAUUUGAAAAGAGGCUGGGUUCCGUACUUGAACAGUGUAAGUGAAACGGUUACUGCAGCAGGUUUUGGGGGCAAGGUAGAAUGACGUGCCAUGUCCUUCCCACUCAUAAUGCCACUUUGUAAAAUUUAAGUCUCUUUCAAGACACUGGAGGAUUGGAGGAUAGUGACCUGAACUUGACACGGAGUCCUAGAAAAGGCGGCAGACUCUAAAAGACUGAGUUUGUUUACAAGUAAGGCAUUGUGGGUUCAUUGACCAAAGAGGAGAGUGAGAGAUUGCUCAGAUCUUACUGGGUUUAAAAGAACUAGAGUAAACUAAGCUAGACUAAACAAUCUUGAAGAGACGUAACAGCAACAACAAAUAUCAACAAAACUAAAAUUGUUUAUAUUUUUACAAAAGCUUUUCUUAACCUUAAAGAUAACCUCAAACAUAAAGAAACAAAAAGUACAAAGACAACAAAACCAAUUAAAUGCGGACACUUUAUCAACAAGAAAAUAACACUGUUUGUGCGCAGGCUAAAUCUUUUACAUACAGUCACUGUUGACAAGUACACUAAAAAGCAAAGGAGGAACACCUAUAUAAAAUAAAUAGUUCACUCAAAAAUUAAAAUUCUAUCAUCAUUUCCUCACCCUUGUGUUAUCGACACCUGUAAAGGAGUCAUCUAGCAAAAUGUGUGAGCUGUUCUUUUUCAUACAAUUAAAGAUUUUCA